CUGUAAUCUUAUCACCUUAAACUCGUUAUGGACAGUGUGAGACUAACAUAAUACAGAUAUAUUAUACAAUAGAAUGUAAUCAUUCGUUCGCGAACUGCGCAGGCGAUGAGCCGCGUGCGAUUUAACGAAAUAGUCAAACCGGAAAAAUCGUGACAAGAAAUUUAAUUAGCCCGACACAAAGUGACAAUGUAUACACAGACGCUAAUAAUAAAAUGUUGAGUGUACUUAAAAAAUAGAUGUAGUUUUUAAACAGUGUUUAUAAAAUGAUUAUUACAUUUUCAGAAUAAGAAAACAAUAAAAUAAUCUCGUGACGCUUGCGAGAAGUUUUUAAAAUGAGCACACUUGAACCCUAAUCAAAUGUGGACUUACUCGAGCGUAGACAUCCCAGCGAGUACAGUCAGCCGGACGGAGAGAAUAAGGAUAUACAUAUCUGAGUGCGUUGUGUGCUUCUGUAUAUUAUUCUUCUUUGUUUGCGUAGGCCUACUCCUUUACUUGUUCUUCCAUUUGUAUAACACCGUGACAAAUACACACAAAAAUAUUGUUACUUUAAUUGAAAGUUGAGGUGGAAAAUUACUGAAUGUGAAAUUACCAAGUGUGUAGUAAAUAGAUCUCGUUCCUGUAAGAUUAUGUAAAAAUAAAAUGUGAUUCUAAUUUAUGAUUGCAUUGUUAAGUUUUAUUUUAUUGUAACAAAGUCAGUAUUUUAUGAUAUUUAUUUGUGUAAUUUUUGUGUGUGUAGUUAUAUUACUUACCUAAACUGCAGAAUGAGGUAUUGUCACAAUUCAAAUGAUGCACUUUUAAUAUUUAGAAAUAAUGAACAGGUAUAUAAUUAAUAACAUAAUUUAGUCAGAUACGUGAACAAAAGCUUAUCUAAUUAAAAGUCAAGGAACAAUAAAAUGUGUACUUAAUAGCGUUAUUUAAUUAUUUCUCCUAUUAAAUUAGAUUGUUUCACGAAUUGUUUAUUAUAUUGAAUUGAAACCUAAUUAUAUGGAAACAAUAUAAAAUGUUAUUCAUCAAUAAAACAAUGAAGAGUAAAUUCAAAAUAAAUAAAAUACGAUAGAUUUAUACCCUUUUUCCUAUCUAUAAUUGGACUGGAUAAUUAAUUAUCACGGAUUUCAGUCCGUGAAAUGGAUUGGCAAAUACGAAGCCUUAUUUAAACUGAGGCGAGAUGAUUAUUUGUAUGAAUGAAUAAUAAAUGUAGAUCUUUAACUAGUAAAUGGAUAGAACGACUAGAAGCUAUGAUCGUGCAUUAAUUAUUUGCAUAGUGCUCAGUCAACAAAUUAAACUGUAUUUACCUAUACAUUAUUAACAAAAUUGAAAUUUAUUUGUAUGAAUCUCGGGAUCUAUCGAUCUUAUUUUAAUUAUGUGUUACAUAUUCUAUAGAUUUAUAGAGCAUAACGUCACGAAAAACAGUGACCAUAUUUUUAUUAAAAUUGUUGUUUUAAUUUUAAAAAAAUAUUAUUAUUAUUAUGCGUCUUAAUAAUAUAAACUUUAAUUAUGUGUAUAACUUCUAGUGGACCUGAGAAAUAUCGUGGCGUUCUCAAAACAUAUUUAAAAAGUAAAAUCAAAUCAAAGUCGCUGUAUACAGCGACAUUGAUUGACUCUUAAAGGUGUUUCUUUAUAUAUAUUUUUUCUAUACAAUUUUAAUAACAAAACUGAAAAUGUAAAAGUAAACAGCCAUCUUGAAUAUUCGUUACCAUUGUAAGCAAAACGAUGUAUUGAUCGUAAAGCUUUACUGUAAAAUAUUUCUAGUCUAUCGUUGUUUAAGAUAUUUAUAAUAUUUUUUUUUUAUGUAAAAUGUUGAUUUUAUUUGCUCGAUUUAAUACUGAUCUGUUCACUUACAUAUAAUAAUAGUACCUUUAAAAGAACGUUCUGUAAUUAUAACCAUUUUUUGUCCAAUUUGAAUGGAUAUAUCCAUUAUGAUAACAUAUCAGAAAUACAAAAUCAUUUUUUUAUGAAAAAAGUAUAUUUUCAUUUGAUGUAUUUAAUUCCUAUACCUAUUUUCCUUGUAAGUCCUCUCCACUCGUUUCUUUAUCAUAAG
This 2038-nucleotide unclassified non-coding RNA is filed under the name Melitaea cinxia (Glanville fritillary). Its description in RNAcentral is "misc RNA ENSMCXG00005015764.1". The record is from RNAcentral. Lineage: Eukaryota; Metazoa; Arthropoda; Insecta; Lepidoptera; Nymphalidae.